AUGAACGCUGGCGGCGUGCCUAAUACAUGCAAGUCGAGCGGAAUGAUGAAGAAGCUUGCUUCUUCUGAUUUUAGCGGCGGACGGGUGAGUAACACGUGGGCAACCUACCUUGUAGAUUGGGAUAACUCCGGGAAACCGGGGCUAAUACCGAAUAAUCCAUUUUGCUUCAUGGCGAGAUGUUAAAAGGCGGCUUCGGCUGUCACUACGAGAUGGGCCCGCGGCGCAUUAGCUAGUUGGUAGGGUAAUGGCCUACCAAGGCGACGAUGCGUAGCCGACCUGAGAGGGUGAUCGGCCACACUGGGACUGAGACACGGCCCAGACUCCUACGGGAGGCAGCAGUAGGGAAUCUUCCACAAUGGACGAAAGUCUGAUGGAGCAACGCCGCGUGAGUGAAGAAGGUUUUCGGAUCGUAAAACUCUGUUGUAAGGGAAGAACACGUACGAGAGUAACUGCUCGUACCUUGACGGUACCUUAUUAGAAAGCCACGGCUAACUACGUG
This 499-nucleotide ribosomal RNA is filed under the name uncultured bacterium. RNAcentral describes it as "bacterial SSU rRNA". It matches the Rfam family "Bacterial small subunit ribosomal RNA", at positions 29 to 507 of the family's 1533-position model. The record is from RNAcentral.